UGGUUCUGGCAUCGAUGAAGAACGCAGCGAAAUGCGAUAAGUAAUGCGAAUUGCAGAAUUUCCGUGAGUCAUCGAAUCUUUGAACGCACAUUGCGCCCAUUGGUAUUCCGAUGGGCAUGCCUGUUCGAGCGUCAUUAUCCUCUCUCAAGCCCCCCGGGGUUUGGUGUUGGACCUGCGUUGCGUGAGCAACUGGUCUCAAAGACAAUGACGGCGUCCGUGGGACCCUCUUCGCAACGAGCUUCUUCGGGGCACGCGAAACAGGGGCCUUCCGGGCCGGUCUUCCCUUCUUUUUUUACAAGGUUGACCUCGGAUCAGGUAGGAAUACCCGCUGA
This 332-nucleotide unclassified non-coding RNA is filed under the name uncultured fungus. RNAcentral's name for it is "partial contains 5.8S ribosomal RNA and internal transcribed spacer 2". The stretch from base 1 to 134 matches the Rfam family "5.8S ribosomal RNA", at positions 22 to 154 of the family's 154-position model. The record is from RNAcentral. Lineage: Eukaryota; Fungi.